UCCAAAACUCCCGAAAACUCUCACAAACCGAACCAGGGAGUUGCAACGAUAGCCGCUCAAAAAGACAUCUAUGGGUCCAACGACGUGCAGGGGAGAAGAGGAGAAAUUGGAGCCACGAUGGGAAGCUUGCUGAGAAGGUAUUGCGAAUAAAGCUUGUUUAACACCCUCGUCGAGUCUUUCUCCCACUUCUGAUCCAAUCCGAAACCCUCAAAUAAGACGAACCAAAGGCAAAACAGAAGAGAAACGCGAUGCAGCCGCAGUUGGAGCUAGCUGAGAACUCAAUGACGUGAUCACGGCGUACAUAGACCCGAAACUCCCAUUUUUCUCCUCCCGUCUCUCUCCUGCCUGAAACCACUGAGGAAGGAUUCAGGUUAAAUUCUGCUUAAAUCCUGCUAACAAACUGCCCAAGAAGUGAGCGAGCAGGGGAAAAGAGCACUAGUCGGAGUAGUUGAUGGGAAUUUGCAGCGGCAGCUGGUGAGUUCAAGGGGCUUCACCUAGGGAGGUAAAGAUGCCAUAGCUAUUCUCUCCUCUUCCCAUUCCUUAAGCACUUAUUCACUAGUUUGGAUUAUGGUGAGGGUGCUCAGAGUUGAAUCUUUCUAUGCUCUUCUACGAGAUGCUGCAUCGGCCUCUUCUUUUUCCCCACUUCUCAUCUUUCCAUCAGCAUCAGAUGCCGAUUCUCUCUGUGCCCUUAGGAUCAUAACUCACAUCCUCUCAUCUGAUUCUAUCCGCUACUCUGUCUACCCUGUAUCCUCGUUCGGUGACAUUGAAAAUUUCGCUGGUCUCAAUAUCCAUAGUUCCCGUGAGAGGUUAUCUCUGCUUCUCAUUAACUGGGGCUGUCACCGUGACCUCCACCGAAUUCUGAAGCUCAGCUCUGAAGUUCGUGUCUUUGUCAUUGAUAGUCACCGUCCAAUUCAUCUCCACAAUCUAAGUAGGCAGAAUGAGCAGAUUAUUGUCCUUUAUACUGAGGACGAUGAGCAUCAUGCAGAUUUGAUUUAUGAUUUUGAUGUGUCUGCUCUGGCGAAUGCCUCCGAUCUGAAUAGUGAUGAUGAGAUUGGUGAGGACAGUGAUAGUGAUGAUGACAGUGAAAACGAAGUGGAUGAGGAGAAUGUUAAGCGCCGUAGGCUUUCAGAAGAGUCCGUAUCAGACCCAGUCAGACUCUAUGGGAAGCUGAAGUCCGAGUAUUACAAAUUGGGAACUUUUUAUGGAAAGCCUGCCGGUUGUUUGAUGUUUGACCUUGCUCAUUCCCUCAGAAAGAACACAAAUGAGCAGCUCUGGUUAGCUUGUGUUUCCCUCACAGAUCAGUUCGUACAUGAAAGGCUGACCAAUGAAAGGUAUCAAGCUGGGGUGAUGGAACUUGAGCAGUACAUUAACAUCUCAGGAAACCUGGAAACAAUCACUUCGGUGACACUAAAAGAUGGCACACAGAUUCAAGCACCAGAAAACUCUAGGAUUUUCUAUGAAGAUGAACCACGGCUCAUGCUUCUUAGGGAGUGGAAUUUGUUUGAUUCAAUGCUUUGUUCUUCUUAUACUGCAACCAAAUUGAAAACUUGGAGUGACAAUGGUCUAAAGAAACUCAAGCUUCUACUUGCCAGAAUGGGUUUCUCUCUUGUGGACUGCCAGAAGAAGUUCCAGUACAUGAGCAUGGAAGUCAAGCAACGGAUGAAAGACGAGUUUGAUCACUUCUUACCUGAAUAUGGAUUAACAGAGUUUUACUAUCGCAGUUUUCUUAGAAUCCAUGGGUACUGCUCAAAAUUCUCCGCAGCUGAUGUAGUUUAUGGGGUCACAGCACUGCUUGAAUCAUUGGUAGGAACUAGGAAGGACACAUCAGUUGGCGAGCAAUUUUGGGUUGCUUACUCUGCACUUUCUUUGAACAAUCUAGAUCAGCUUAGAAAAGGAAUGCAGAAUGCCAUUGAGAUACAGAGGGCUAUUCUCAGACAGGGGAGCUCCGCCAUGACAAAGAGUGGAUUUAUCAGAAGUGGCAGAAGAUUUCGCUGGGUAAAGCUCGAAGAUCCUGUUGAUACUGAGCGGCUUCAUUACCCACAGGCUCUCACCAAAUUCUGUUAUUUUCUGAUGGAUGCUUUAAAGGAAAGAGGUGCAAAGAUGAAGCCUUUGAUCUGCGCCUGUUUGGCAAAGGAGCCUGGCAAGGUCUUAAUAGUUGGGGUUUGCAGUAAACCACGACUUGGGGCUAUUCAAGGUAACUCAUUUGGAAUAAUAUUUAGAAAAGCUGCUGAAGAAAUUGAUGAAGAGUACUCCCAUGAAUUGUUUGAAUCUUCAUGGAUUCUCUUAGAUAGUGUGGCAGUUAGCUCUUUUAUGAUUAGAUUGGCUGAGAAACUUUGAUAUGUUAAUACUUCAGGAUAUGUUGAAGAUGAGCAUCCACCGUAAGCUUUUUAAAGUUUUGGAUGAGUGUUUGCGGCAGCCUAAAGUUUGCGGGCCACGAGAUCGACCCCGCGGCCGGCGUUCGCGAUUGUUAAUAUGCACCGCUCGAAGCUUGCCCUAACCUCUGGCGUUCCUGAAACCGUGCGGAGAAAUUUUCUCCCUAGCAUCGAGCGUUACAAAUGUUUCUGGCGCCAAAGUUGUUUGUUGCAGAUCUUGAACUUGAAGAGCGAUCAAAAUUGCAACUCAAGAGUGAUCAAAGUUCUUUGUUGCAGAUCUUGAACUUCUCCAAAUUUGUUUAUUUUUUGGGUCCACUUGAAGAGCUUUACAAAUGUUUUCUGCGCCAAAGUUCUUUUUAUGCUCGAUUUCUGUUUCAGGAUGACUACUUGUUAAAUUAAAUUGAUCAGCCAUCUCUCGCUGAGCUCCAUGGGAUGAAUGAUUAGGCUUCUAAUUUCUAGCUUGUGUUGUUUACAACUCAAAUUUUGAUGCUCUGGUUCUGAGCGUCUUCUUUUGAAUCGGUUAGUUUAUACUUUGCGCCAUUUUGUAAUAGCCAGAAAGCUUCUUCUGGCUUUAUUCUCUCUGCUCCAUAGUGGGUGUUCUUCAAAGUUGAGAGCUUUAUUAUCAGAGUACUAAAGCAUUACAGCAGCUAGAAAACCGCAGAGAUAUAUAAAAUCAAAUCAAGAAACAAACUCUUCUUUUGUAUAAAGUUUAAGAUCUUCAUUCUGUAAGCUUCAAGCAUAGGAAUGAAGGAGCAAUUGGUUCUGAUUCACUUUUUAAUGGAAUGAAAGCCCUGCAAGGGUAUGAUGGUUGAUGGAGAAGAAGUAGACUAUUCAAGCUGCCAUCUUUUAACAAAUCCAGACUUAUCAAACAGUGGGAACAUCAAUGUGCUGUUUAAAAAUAUAUACCAGGACAUGUACACUAACACCCAGAUGCUUGCCGCCUCUGAAGGAGAUCUAGGGGAUGGAAAGGAGCUGAAGAAGCCAGUCAGGAAGUCACUGAGGAACAAAGAGGCUGUUCGGAAAUAUAUAGAGAAGAAGAAGGCGCUUGCAGCUUACAGGAAGAAGUGAAAAAGCUGCGUUUUCAUACUUCCGCUUUUAGCCUUUUCACCUUGCAGAAAUUUCCGCUUUUUCACCUUCUUAUUUUUGGAAGGAUAUUCUUCCAAUAUUUCUUGGUUCUUCUCCUUCCUGCCUGAGUCCUUGUUCUUUUGUUCAAUAGCCAUCACCAACAUUUUGAUCUGACAAAGAUCUGUAAUUAGAAAAAAGACAGUUCAUUUACAAUUCGUAGUACACCAAGCUUAGAGGUGUACUUCAUCAAUGUAAAUACCUAAGAUUGUCUCCCAAAAUUACAAUUUGGGCCUGCACUGUCUUGUGUACUAUUGUAUGUAGUGUCAAUAGCAUUGCCUCAACUAUCAUUUCUAUCA
This is an RNA transcript of Phalaenopsis equestris, 3793 nucleotides long. It is a transcript of the gene named cell division control protein 45 homolog, with no coding region annotated. The record is from RefSeq and is a predicted model, not a curated record. The transcript has 4 exons. NCBI's taxonomy places the organism in Eukaryota, Viridiplantae, Streptophyta, Magnoliopsida, Asparagales, Orchidaceae.